Treponema sp. OMZ 838 is the source of this 110-nucleotide non-coding RNA. The record is from Rfam. NCBI's taxonomy places the organism in Bacteria, Pseudomonadati, Spirochaetota, Spirochaetia, Treponematales, Treponemataceae.
AAAACACGUCGAGUUUGCUUAUCGCAAACAUCGCAGAUUGUAUAUGCGCUAUCGCGUACGAAUGCAACAGUUUCCAAAGUUGAUACUUUGUUCAACUGUUGCAUUUUAAG